GACGAACGCUGGCGGCGUGCUUAACACAUGCAAGUCGAACGGAAAGGCCCUGCUUUUGUGGGGUGCUCGAGUGGCGAACGGGUGAGUAACACGUGAGUAACCUGCCCUUGACUUUGGGAUAACUUCAGGAAACUGGGGCUAAUACCGGAUAGGAGCUCCUGCUGCAUGGUGGGGGUUGGAAAGUUUCGGCGGUUGGGGAUGGACUCGCGGCUUAUCAGCUUGUUGGUGGGGUAGUGGCUUACCAAGGCUUUGACGGGUAGCCGGCCUGAGAGGGUGACCGGCCACAAUGGGACUGAGAGACGGCCCAGACGCCUACGGGAGGCAACAGUGGGGAAUAUGGCACAAUGGGCGGAAGCCUGAUGCAGCAACGCCGCGUGCGGGAUGACGGCCUUCGGGGUGUAAACCGCUUUCGCCUGUGACGAAGCGGGAGUGACGGUAAUGGGUAAAGAAGCACCGGCUAACUACGUG
Molecule: ribosomal RNA, 468 nt
Filed under: uncultured bacterium
Lineage: Bacteria
Description: partial 16S ribosomal RNA
Rfam family: Bacterial small subunit ribosomal RNA
Source: RNAcentral